Molecule: ribosomal RNA, 1125 nt
Filed under: Triticum aestivum (bread wheat)
Lineage: Eukaryota; Viridiplantae; Streptophyta; Magnoliopsida; Poales; Poaceae
Description: partial small subunit ribosomal RNA
Source: RNAcentral
AUGUGCAUGAUCAAAUUCCCCAAGUGGGCCAUUAAUUUGAUCAACUCCCAGAUGGCUCAUUGUUUUUGGGACAACUAUGAGGGGCACCAUAGGUAUCACCUUGCCAAUUGGGGGCUGGUAAAUCAGAAAAAGCAAUAUGGGGCCCUGGGGGUUCCAAAAAUUGCUGAGAUGAAUCUGAGCCUACUAGCAUCCUGGGUUUAUAAAUUUCAUACUGGUGGUAGUAAGAUUUGGAAACAGAUAAUUGACUCUAAAUAUAGAGCUAAUAAUCCUAAUAUUUUCUCUUGCCCUGAUAUUAACACAUCCCCUUUUUGGAAAGGGGUCCCGUGGGCUGCUAAAGCAGCUAAGCAUGGAUAUCAGUGGAAAGUGGGCAAUGGGAAGAGAGUCAAAUUUUGGGAGGAUCACUGGUUUGGGUCUUGUAGCCUGGCCAUCCAAUUCUGGGAAUUAUAUAUUAUAGCUAAUGAACAUAAUCAGACUGUGGCUGAUCUGUGGGAUGGGGUUAACCUUAAAAUCACAUUUAGGAGAUGUGUGGACAACAGGUUGCUUCUUCUUUGGUAUGACUUGUUAAGCAUUGUGCAAUCUACUGUUCUUAGUGAUGAAGAUGAUGCUUUAAUCUGGAAACUAGAAUCCAAUGGUAUCUAUUCAGUUAGAUCUAUGUAUGCCAUGGUCAAUUUUAGGGGCAUUAGCCAAGUUCAUGUACCUGAUAUGUGGAAAAUUUAUGUCCCUCCUAACAUCCAUAUCUUUUUGUGGUUGCUAGCUCAUAAUAAGAUGUUAGUGAGGGAUAAUCUCAGUAAGAGACAACAUUUAGAUGACUUGUCCUGCUUGUUCUGCUCUGAAGGUGAAAAUAUCAACCAUUUGUUCUUUGAGUGUGUUGUAGCUCUGGAAAUAUGGAGAAACAUUCACUCCAUCAUAGACUGCUUCCCUUUACCUAUGCUGAGUAGGGUAGCAGAAAUGUGGGGGCAAGAUAAAAAACUACAAGCUGAGAAUAUUGUCAUUUCAGCUGUUCUCUGGGCUAUCUGGAGGUGCAGUAAUGACAUGUGUUUUAAUAACACACAUGGAUGGGUGUGCAGGUGGUGCUGGGAAAAAUUGCAGGGUAUUGCGACUCCUGAAAGAUCCUCUGCAAAUUAA